Felis catus (domestic cat) is the source of this 1710-nucleotide long non-coding RNA. RefSeq lists it as uncharacterized. The record is from RefSeq and is a predicted model, not a curated record. The transcript is spliced from 4 exons. Lineage: Eukaryota; Metazoa; Chordata; Mammalia; Carnivora; Felidae.
AUGAGUUGCCGGGCGGUUUCUUGCCCCCACUCGCUCAGUCUGCCCCCAGUUUAGGAUAGCGAUCGAGAUUCUCGAGGCUCGUACUCAACCGCCGUCCAGUGCACCCAGCGCGUGGGCAGAAGCUACGAAAGAGAUAUGUGAGCCCCGAACUGGAGAGUAGGAGGAACUCAAUGGGAUUCAGACUUCUUGUCAGAUUUUAGCUAGUGCCGAAAGGAGCAUGCCUUGACCAAUUCCUCCCUAACUGUCUCUGUGCUGCCUUGGGCUGUGGGAUGGAUAACAGAACUUUUGAAUCAUCACUGGAAUAAACUCAUUAGAGCCUCUUCUUCAUAACACCGUAUCUGUCACUCAGACAUGUGAAGGAAGUGGCCAGACCUGCUUCGUCACCUGCCUGUGCAUCUCUGUCCCACCUGAGAGCUUCCACAGGCCCCGGUGCCUUCUUCCUCUUCGCCAUCUGUCUUGUGCUCAUCUCCUCCGAGAAGCCUUCCAUGACUAAUCCUACUCUCAGCUCCAACUCAUCCCUUGAAGAUUUAUACAAACUAGAUUUAGGUUCUCCCCUCGGUUUCGCAUCUCCUUCAGGAACGGGUGCUCAGCUGACAGCUUCCUGUGGCAGAGGAAGCAUUAAGGAAUCAGCCAGAACCUCUCCAGGCAUGGGCCAUGAGCUUCUCUUUUCUUCGGUCAUUCCCAGGAGCUAGGCAUGGUGGCAUCAGGGAAAGGGUGAGGACUCUGGAGUAAGACCGAGGCUGAAGCCCAGAUCUCCCGCUUACUAGCAGAGCAGUUACUUUUGAGUCUUGGGCGCCUCAUCUAUAAAAUGAGGAUAAUUACCCUUCCCUGCAGAGUUGAUGAGAGGGAAACUGGGAAAUCAGCUGGCACAGCUUCUGACCCGGAACAGGCCCCUCUGGUUGCUCUUUCCCCCUUUUCCCUCUGCCUUGGGGUGCCUUCCCCUCUUUCCCCCCACCCCAUUCUUAGCCCUGUUCAUCUCUCCGGGGGUCCUUUGUCCCCAUCUCUCAUCCUAUCUCUGCUAUUAACCCUAGUUCCUUUGACCCCAUUUGCUUGCCCACAUAAACGUGUGCUUUGAUCUUUCUACUCCCUCAAAUUACCCUUCCAUUUCUUUCCUUCACUUCUUUGGCAAGUAUCUGGAAAGCUACGCCCAUACACAGUCUUUACUUCCUGUCCACUCCUAAAUUCUUUUACAAUUUGGCUUCUGGUUCUCCUCCUCCACUGAAAUCCCAACGACCUCCUGCCCACCAAAUUCAAAGACCUUCCCUAACUCUGCACAACACUGACCCCUGCUGGCCAAAACCUCCCUGUGACUCUGUCUCCUCGGGGCUUCCAGUCCCACUGUGCCACCCCGCUUCUGCUCCCACCCUUUGGGCUUCUGAUUCCUAUCCGUUCUGUCUACAUCUCCUGUGUUAGUUUCUUUGGUUCCCUAAAAUUUUACAUUCUCUAAGAUUCUGUUCUCAGUUCUUUGCUGUCUGAACUCUCUCAAACAUCCUCCCCUGCCCCCAACGCCCUUCCUAUAGUUUUCAUCUUUAUAUGGCUCACCACCACACAGGGAUCUUCACCUGACUUCUCUCCUGAGCUCUGGGCCCUCAUUUCUAACUGCCUUAAAAUUUUUCUUUUAGGGGCACCUGGGUGGCUUGUCGGUUGAGCAUCUGACUCUUGGUAUAGGCUCAGGUCAUGAUCUCAUGGUUUCGUGAGUCCGAGCCCUGU